UACGUAGGGUGCAAGCGUUAAUCGGAAUUACUGGGCGUAAAGCGUGCGCAGGCGGUUCGGAAAGACAGAUGUGAAAUCCCAGAGCUUAACUUUGGAACUGCAUUUUUAACUGCCGAGCUAGAGUAUGUCAGAGGGGGGUAGAAUUCCACGUGUAGCAGUGAAAUGCGUAGAGAUGUGGAGGAAUACCGAUGGCGAAGGCAGCCCCCUGGGAUAAUACUGACGCUCAUGCACGAAAGCGUGGGGAGCAAACAGG
Molecule: ribosomal RNA, 253 nt
Filed under: uncultured bacterium
Lineage: Bacteria
Description: partial 16S ribosomal RNA
Rfam family: Bacterial small subunit ribosomal RNA
Source: RNAcentral